This 466-nucleotide ribosomal RNA is filed under the name uncultured bacterium. RNAcentral describes it as "partial 16S ribosomal RNA". It matches the Rfam family "Bacterial small subunit ribosomal RNA", at positions 28 to 507 of the family's 1533-position model. The record is from RNAcentral.
GAUGAACGCUGGCGGCGUGCUUAACACAUGCAAGUCGAACGGAAAGGCUCCUGCUUGCAGGGGUACUCGAGUGGCGAACGGGUGAGUAACACGUGGGUGAUCUGCCCUGCACUUCGGGAUAAGCCUGGGAAACUGGGUCUAAUACCGGAUAGGACGAUGGCUUGGAUGCCAUUGUGGAAAGUUUUUUCGGUGUGGGAUGAGCUCGCGGCCUAUCAGCUUGUUGGUGGGGUAAUGGCCUACCAAGGCGUCGACGGGUAGCCGGCCUGAGAGGGUGUACGGCCACAUUGGGACUGAGAUACGGCCCAGACUCCUACGGGAGGCAGCAGUGGGGAAUAUUGCACAAUGGGCGCAAGCCUGAUGCAGCGACGCCGCGUGGGGGAUGACGGCCUUCGGGCUGUAAACUCCUUUCGCUAGGGACGAAGCGCAAGUGACGGUACCUGGAGAAGAAGCACCGGCUAACUACGUG